CAGCAGCCGCGGGAAUACGUAUGUCACAAGCGUUAUCCGGAUUUAUUGGGCGUAAAGCGCGUCUAGGUGGUUAUGUAAGUCUGAUGUGAAAAUGCAGGGCUCAACUCUGUAUUGCGUUGGAAACUGUGUAACUAGAGUACUGGAGAGGUAAGCGGAACUACAAGUGUAGAGGUGAAAUUCGUAGAUAUUUGUAGGAAUGCCGAUGGGGAAGCCAGCUUACUGGACAGAUACUGACGCUAAAGCGCGAAAGCGUGGGUAGCAAACAGGAUUAGAGACCCGCGUAGUCCCUGUCUCUUAUACA
RNAcentral lists this ribosomal RNA (301 nucleotides) under uncultured bacterium. RNAcentral's name for it is "partial 16S ribosomal RNA". It matches the Rfam family "Bacterial small subunit ribosomal RNA", at positions 509 to 808 of the family's 1533-position model. The record is from RNAcentral.